AGCAGCUAAGAAUCUUCCGCAAUGGGCGAAAGCCUGACGGAGCGACGCCGCGUGAACGAAGAAGGCCGUGAGGUUGUAAAGUUCUUUUCGGGAGGGGGAACAACCGUGGCAGGGAAUGGCCGCGGGAUGACGUGAAUCCCGGAAUAAGCCCCGGCUAACUACGUGCCAGCAGCCGCGGUAACACGUAGGGGGCGAGCGUUGUUCGGAAUCAUUGGGCGUAAAGGGCGUGCAGGCGGUCGUGCAAGUCCGGCGUGAAAGACCCCGGCCCAACCGGGGGGACGCGCUGGAAACUGCAGGGCUUGAGUACAGGAGGGGAUGCCGGAAUUCCAGGUGUAGGGGUGAAAUCUGUAGAUAUCUGGAAGAACACCAAUGGCGAAGGCAGGCAUCUGGCCAUGUACUGACGCUGAGACGCGAAGGUGCGGGGAGCAAACAGGUUUAGAUACCCUGGUAGUCCGCACAGUAAACGAUGUGCACCAGGUGGCGGGGGGUCGACCCCCGGUACCGUAGCUAACGCAUUAAGUGCACCGCCUGGGGAGUAUGCUCGCAAGGGUGAAACUCAAAUGAAUUUGACGGA
RNAcentral lists this ribosomal RNA (574 nucleotides) under uncultured bacterium. RNAcentral describes it as "bacterial SSU rRNA". It matches the Rfam family "Bacterial small subunit ribosomal RNA", at positions 350 to 917 of the family's 1533-position model. The record is from RNAcentral.